GCCGACGUAGCUCAACUGGUAGAGCAACUGACUUGUAAUCAGUAGGUUGGGGGUUCAAGUCCUCUUGUCGGCU
This 73-nucleotide transfer RNA is filed under the name Clostridiales bacterium. RNAcentral describes it as "tRNA-Thr". It matches the Rfam family "tRNA". From Rfam's summary of the family: Transfer RNA (tRNA) molecules are approximately 80 nucleotides in length. Their secondary structure includes four short double-helical elements and three loops (D, anti-codon, and T loops). Lineage: Bacteria; Bacillati; Bacillota; Clostridia; Eubacteriales. The record is from RNAcentral.